GGCCCGCACAAGCGGUGGAGUAUGUGGUUUAAUUCGAUGCAACGCGAAGAACCUUACCAGGGUUUGACAUCCUGCGAAUCUCUUGGAAACGAGAGAGUGCCUUCGGGAACGCAGUGACAGGUGGUGCAUGGCUGUCGUCAGCUCGUGUCGUGAGAUGUUGGGUUAAGUCCCGCAACGAGCGCAACCCACGUCUUUAGUUGCCAGCAUUUAGUUGGGCACUCUAGAGAGACUGCCGGUGAUAAACCGGAGAAGGUGUGGAUGACGUCAAGUCAUCAUGCCCCUUACAUCUGGGCUACACACGUGCUACAAUGGUGCUGACAGAGGGCAGCUAGCUCGCGAGAGUAAGCUAAUCCUAAAAGCGCCUCAGUUCAGA
This 373-nucleotide ribosomal RNA is filed under the name uncultured bacterium. Its description in RNAcentral is "bacterial SSU rRNA". It matches the Rfam family "Bacterial small subunit ribosomal RNA", at positions 918 to 1297 of the family's 1533-position model. The record is from RNAcentral.